AAAGUCGUAACAAGGUUUCCGUAGGUGAACCUGCGGAAGGAUCAUUGACAAAUCUAUUUAAAAAAUAUGACAUUGGUUCAGGGUAAAACUUGGACUUAAUGUAAUAUUAACCCGGAGCCUGUUUGGCUCUGGCAAUGUUCACAGAUUAGAGUGUAUCACUACAUUCUUGUCUGUGAAGAUUGUCAUUGAGCUAUUGAAGUGAAAUAUAUUCAGUAGCACAUAAACUCGAUUGUAUUGUUUGACAGUGUACUAUUUAAUUGCACUUUUGACGCAAUUUUGCGUUUGAUUUGCGGCUUAAAUAUUAUUGAAAAAUUUAUACAACUUUUAACAAUGGAUCUCUUGGCUCUU
Molecule: unclassified non-coding RNA, 348 nt
Filed under: fungal sp.
Lineage: Eukaryota; Fungi
Description: partial contains small subunit ribosomal RNA, internal transcribed spacer 1, and 5.8S ribosomal RNA
Rfam family: Eukaryotic small subunit ribosomal RNA (bases 1-47)
Source: RNAcentral